UACGGGGGGGGCAAGCGUUGUCCGGAAUCAUUGGGCGUAAAGCGCGCGUAGGCGGCCAGAUAAGUCCGGUGUGAAAGCCACAGGCUCAACCUGUGAAUGCCGCUGGAAACUGUCUGGCUAGAGUCCGGGAGGGGCGAGUGGAAUUCCUGGUGUAGCGGUGAAAUGCGCAGAUAUCGGGAAGAACACCCGUGGCGAAGGCGGUUCUCUGGGACGGUACUGACGCUGAGGCGCGAAAGCGUGGGGAGCAAACAGG
This 253-nucleotide ribosomal RNA is filed under the name uncultured bacterium. RNAcentral's name for it is "partial 16S ribosomal RNA". It matches the Rfam family "Bacterial small subunit ribosomal RNA", at positions 524 to 776 of the family's 1533-position model. The record is from RNAcentral.